GGCCAAUCACCCUUUAAAUUAUUAGCCCACUGGGCAGAACAUCCACAGUGGAGAAAAUUCGAACGGUACAAUCUGCAAAUUCCCAGGGACUGAUUUCUCUAAUCAGUCUCAAUAACCCCAAUACAAAGGAUGAAAUAAAAUUCUUCAAAUUAUGUUAGAACAACAUUGUAAAACUUUACAUAAUAAUAAUAAUAAGAAGAAG
RNAcentral lists this unclassified non-coding RNA (202 nucleotides) under Hevea brasiliensis (rubber tree). Lineage: Eukaryota; Viridiplantae; Streptophyta; Magnoliopsida; Malpighiales; Euphorbiaceae. The record is from RNAcentral.